This 207-nucleotide ribosomal RNA is filed under the name uncultured bacterium. RNAcentral describes it as "partial 16S ribosomal RNA". It matches the Rfam family "Bacterial small subunit ribosomal RNA", at positions 568 to 774 of the family's 1533-position model. The record is from RNAcentral.
UGCGCAGGCGGUUGUGUAAGACAGGUGUGAAAUCCCCGGGCUUAACCUGGGAAUUGCAUUUGUGACUGCACGACUAGAGUGUGUCAGAGGGGGGUGGAAUUCCACGUGUAGCAGUGAAAUGCGUAGAUAUGUGGAGGAACACCAAUGGCGAAGGCAGCCCCCUGGGAUAACACUGACGCUCAUGCACGAAAGCGUGGGGAGCAAACA